AAGUAAAGACUAUAGAUUGCGAUCACCUCUAUAGUUCACUACUAAGGAAGUUUCUCUGAAUGUGUAAAGCACCAUGAGCAGGAGGUGCAACAUUCUCUCCUGAGUGUGAAGCUGGCUCUCGGUGUUGCUUCACUGCAACAGCCAUUGGCCAUUGAUGAUCGGUCUUCUCUUCCUGGAAAAUAGGGAGAGGAUAUAGUCUGAGUGGU
RNAcentral lists this small nucleolar RNA (206 nucleotides) under Prolemur simus (greater bamboo lemur). Its description in RNAcentral is "Small nucleolar RNA U3 (ENSPSMG00000015156.1)". It matches the Rfam family "Small nucleolar RNA U3". Rfam says of the family: Small nucleolar RNAs (snoRNAs) are involved in the processing and modification of rRNA in the nucleolus. Lineage: Eukaryota; Metazoa; Chordata; Mammalia; Primates; Lemuridae. The record is from Rfam by way of RNAcentral.